Long non-coding RNA from Nymphaea colorata (pocket water lily), 872 nucleotides. RefSeq lists it as uncharacterized. The record is from RefSeq and is a predicted model, not a curated record. The transcript has 3 exons. Lineage: Eukaryota; Viridiplantae; Streptophyta; Magnoliopsida; Nymphaeales; Nymphaeaceae.
GAUAGCUUUCCAUUCUUCAACAGUUCAACUCCUUUUGAACUCCAACAAGAUUCAAUUUCUUAAACCACGUUUUCUUACAAACCAUCAUUCCCGAAGAAGGGAAUCAUAAAGAGGAGCCUAAAACGCAGAGACAUCUUGCGAACACGAGGAACCUGCUUUGUACCAAAAAAAGGAAAAAAAAACUGUGAAGGGAUCAAGAAAGUUCGACUUGAUUGUGAAGAUGGGUGUCUUGUAUCGUGAUUAAUGGUUGAACACCAGGAUCUGAAAAAAGUGGCCAAAGGACAAAAAAACUCGAGAUCUAAAAGAACUCCAUAAGGAAAGGGAAGAAAGUGACCAAUGAAGGCAAAGUGAGACUUUCGGAGCUCGUGGCAGACUGGGUAACGUUUGAAAAUGCAAAUCCAGUUGUGACUAAUGGUCUCCAUUUUAAUGGACAGGUUUCACAAGGAGCUGUUUGUCAGUGGUGAUCAAAGAGGGACUCUCAUUCACUUCAUUGUGGGGGAAAACCUUAUGCUAUCUGCUGUAGAUGGGAGAGUUAGCGACAAUAGCGAACAAGAAGUCCUUUGAAGAGCUAUUGCAUUCCAUUGGACGGCCAAAGGUGGUAAGAGAACUUCUGGGCAGCAAUUCUCCGAGCAUGAUUGGUGCUAAAACAAAAAGUUAGAUGGAAGCAACCUGAUUUUGGACUGAUUGAUGGGUUGGAGAUCCUCUAUUUCUUGAAAUCUCUGGCAAAUCCAAGUUAUUUGGUAAAAUUUGGCUCUUUGUCAAGGAUGUUUUAGGUAGUGAGGACUCUAUAAUGAGUAUUGUUGGCUGGUUAAGACCAUCAGCAUCCCCCCUCUCAUUUCUACUAACAGCGAUAGAAUCUUGUGGGAGGCAAA